GCUGCUAAUCCACAGACCUCACUUUGAGUAGAAAAGUCCUAAAAUAGUGUUUCCUAAACUUUGCUAUUUGUAUGAACCUCCCGGGUGGCAAAUGCAGAUUCCAGGCCCUUGUCCCAGGACUGCAGGGAAGGGGCCUGGGAAUGUGUAUAAUUGUGGUUGUCACAUCAGGCAGUUUGGGAACCGGUGUCCUAAGAAAUUCCAGACCAACUCACCACAAAGCAGAGAGGACCUGUUUUUCAUAUCUUCCUGUCUGAUCGGUAUGCUGGACUUCAUCCACAUUCAAAGGAGCACACCCGAGAGAAAAUGGAAUGAGAAAAAAAGAACAAUGCUGAAAACGCUGGAGAUGGUCAUGGGUGCAAACACUUCAGUGCAAAAGACUGAAGAAAAAGGAGUCCGAUGUAAUAAUCCUGCGGCCAGCUACAAUAUGCCAUUCUUCUGCACCUUGGUCAGUGGGACAGAUCCCUGGGCUCCUCCAGGGGAGAAGGAGGAGAAAACUUCUUUCCCACUUGGGACAUGGUUACGGCUGGGUUUUGCAGCUCUCACUAUCUCCCCUGCAGGGAUGGCCUGGAUCCUGCCAUGUAAAUCAAAGAAGAGAGGGCCUGACUCAGCUGCCUAGCCUGCGUCACCUGGAACCCAUUAUGAUACAGGAUCAUAAACACCUCCAUUUUCCCUCCAGAGAGAGACCAGACCCACUGAAGUUAAGCUACCUGCAUAAGAGUUGAGUGCGAUCAGCUGUACUUAAUCUUUAAAUGUCCAACCCACUGAUAACCUUUGGUUUGCUUUGAUAACUGUGAAAUAAAUUCUCACUGCAUCGGAUGCCGGCAUUCUGGUUUCUAUUCAAGGCUGUGGUGCAGAUGUCAUGGAAUCUUGGACUGGACAACAGUCCUUGGAGAUCUCUGGGGCCAGUUACUGGCUUUUAGGCAUUUAAUUUCUAAGCCUCCCUCUGCCAACUCUAAAUUUCUUCGGGGAAUGCCAUGGCAUUUGUGCAUCACCAAGCUUUAGGUGCUCUCUGGGGUGAGAACCAUUUGGAGGUGGGAGAAAUGGGAGAAAAAGAAAGACCCAGCAAAUUCAAAGCUUCACAACAUGGUAUAACAGGAAGAACACUGUCUAAGUUUCAAGCAUCUUGGGUUUGAAUCCAACUCUUCUGUUCUCACCCUGCCUCAGCUUCCUAGCCAUGCAAUCUUGGGAAAAGGAUGUUAGCUCUUUUGCCCUUAGUUUUUCUCUUCUGUAAAGUGAAUGGGAAUGGUCAG
Molecule: long non-coding RNA, 1250 nt
Filed under: Equus caballus (horse)
Lineage: Eukaryota; Metazoa; Chordata; Mammalia; Perissodactyla; Equidae
Description: lncRNA (ENSECAG00000034625.3)
Source: RNAcentral